RNAcentral lists this long non-coding RNA (239 nucleotides) under Capsicum annuum. RNAcentral's name for it is "long non-coding RNA (CANN_LNC021762)". Lineage: Eukaryota; Viridiplantae; Streptophyta; Magnoliopsida; Solanales; Solanaceae. The record is from RNAcentral.
UGUAAGUCAUGUCAUGUUUUGAUGUCCAAAAAAGAAGCAAUAAUGUACCUCAGUGACCCAAUACUCCAACAAUCCAGGCCAUACGUUAUGUUGCUCAUGGUCCAAACCUAUGUCUCACAGCAUGUUUGGUUAUAAGAAAAAAUAUGCGUUUUUGUAUAUUACGGAAUCAUGUUAUGCCGAAAUUAGCCAAAGUGAUAAAGUUUGUGCUUACUCAUGGAAAAUUUUCAGCUCUUGAAUGA